GACGAACGCUGGCGGCGUGCCUAAUACAUGCAAGUAGAACGCUGAAGAGAGGAGCUUGCUCUUCUUGGAUGAGUUGCGAACGGGUGAGUAACGCGUAGGUAACCUGCCUUGUAGCGGGGGAUAACUAUUGGAAACGAUAGCUAAUACCGCAUAACAAUGGAUGACACAUGUCAUUUAUUUGAAAGGGGCAAUUGCUCCACUACAAGAUGGACCUGCGUUGUAUUAGCUAGUAGGUGAGGUAAUGGCUCACCUAGGCGACGAUACAUAGCCGACCUGAGAGGGUGAUCGGCCACACUGGGACUGAGACACGGCCCAGACUCCUACGGGAGGCAGCAGUAGGGAAUCUUCGGCAAUGGGAGCAACCCUGACCGAGCAACGCCGCGUGAGUGAAGAAGGUUUUCGGAUCGUAAAGCUCUGUUGUAAGUCAAGAACGGGUGUGAGAGUGGAAAGUUCACACUGUGACGGUAGCUUACCAGAAAGGGACGGCUAACUACGUG
RNAcentral lists this ribosomal RNA (497 nucleotides) under uncultured bacterium. RNAcentral's name for it is "partial 16S ribosomal RNA". It matches the Rfam family "Bacterial small subunit ribosomal RNA", at positions 28 to 507 of the family's 1533-position model. The record is from RNAcentral.